RNAcentral lists this ribosomal RNA (135 nucleotides) under Clunio tsushimensis. Its description in RNAcentral is "partial 18S rRNA". It matches the Rfam family "Eukaryotic small subunit ribosomal RNA", at positions 1701 to 1831 of the family's 1831-position model. Lineage: Eukaryota; Metazoa; Arthropoda; Insecta; Diptera; Chironomidae. The record is from RNAcentral.
GUGAGAUCUUUGGAGGCAUGCUCUGAGUGCUUCGGUACUUCGGUUGCUAUUGCCAAAGUUGAUCAAACUUGAUGAUUUGGAGGAAGUAAAAGUCGUAACAAGGUUUCCGUAGGUGAACCUGCGGAAGGAUCAUUA